Molecule: ribosomal RNA, 456 nt
Filed under: Salmonella enterica subsp. enterica serovar Infantis
Lineage: Bacteria; Pseudomonadati; Pseudomonadota; Gammaproteobacteria; Enterobacterales; Enterobacteriaceae
Also listed under: 17 other names
Description: partial 23S ribosomal RNA
Rfam family: Bacterial large subunit ribosomal RNA
Source: RNAcentral
AGACCCGAAACCCGGUGAUCUAGCCAUGGGCAGGUUGAAGGUUGGGUAACACUAACUGGAGGACCGAACCGACUAAUGUUGAAAAAUUAGCGGAUGACCUGUGGCUGGGGGUGAAAGGCCAAUCAAACCGGGAGAUAGCUGGUUCUCCCCGAAAGCUAUUUAGGUAGCGCCUCGUGAAUUCAUCUCCGGGGGUAGAGCACUGUUUCGGCUAGGGGGCCAUCCCGGCUUACCAACCCGAUGCAAACUGCGAAUACCGGAGAAUGUUAUCACGGGAGACACACGGCGGGUGCUAACGUCCGUCGUGAAGAGGGAAACAACCCAGACCGCCAGCUAAGGUCCCAAAGUCAUGGUUAAGUGGGAAACGAUGUGGGAAGGCCCAGACAGCCAGGAUGUUGGCUUAGAAGCAGCCAUCAUUUAAAGAAAGCGUAAUAGCUCACUGGUCGAGUCGGCCUGCGC